ACUACAUGAAGCUGGAAUCGCUAGUAAUCGCGGAUCAGAAUGCCGCGGUGAAUACGUUCCCGGGUCUUGUACACACCGCCCGUCACACCAUGGGAGUCGGAAAUGCCCGAAGUCAGUGACCCAACCGUAAGGAGGGAGCUGCCGAAGGUGGAGCCGGUAACUGGGGUGAAGUCGUAACAAGGUACC
This 186-nucleotide ribosomal RNA is filed under the name uncultured bacterium. RNAcentral's name for it is "partial 16S ribosomal RNA". It matches the Rfam family "Bacterial small subunit ribosomal RNA", at positions 1315 to 1500 of the family's 1533-position model. The record is from RNAcentral.